Regulatory RNA element from Actinoplanes regularis, 63 nucleotides. It matches the Rfam family "Actino-pnp RNA". The record is from Rfam. Lineage: Bacteria; Bacillati; Actinomycetota; Actinomycetes; Micromonosporales; Micromonosporaceae.
ACCGGUCUCCGGUAGUGGUUCUCAGGCUUUCUCUUGACCUGGGCACUUCGAUCGAAGACCGGC